Molecule: long non-coding RNA, 2889 nt
Organism: Monodelphis domestica (gray short-tailed opossum)
Lineage: Eukaryota; Metazoa; Chordata; Mammalia; Didelphimorphia; Didelphidae
Source: RefSeq, a predicted model, not a curated record
CCUAAGAGGGAGGGAGGGGAGCUGAACUAAACCCAGGGGCCUGAGACCUGGACAGCCCUCUGCAGUGUGCUGAAAGGGAAUCUAGAGACAAUACUAUUGCUAAUAGUGAGAGAAGUGAAUUUGAAAAUAAAUUGUGUCUACCAUCUCUACUGACCUGAAUGGCUAUUCUUUGUUCAGAAAAACAAAAUGGGAGCAUCUGGAUGACUCAGUGGAUCAAGAGCCAGGACUAGAGGCUAAGAAGUCCUAGGUACAAAUCUGACCUCAGAUACUUCCUAGCUGUGUGAUUCUGGAGGAAACUGAGAAGAGCCCUGUGAACUAAUCAGAGAGAAGUGAGAAGAACAAGACCUUAUAAAAUGAUAACAUCUUUUUGAAGCAAGGCUGAAAAACUUUAGAACUCCAAGCAAAGCAAUGGUAAACCAUGAGUCCAAAAGAAUGGACCAGAAAACGCAUCAUCCCAGAGACUGUAAGACUGAUCUUGGACUUCUUGGCCCUUCAGUAGCCUCUGACCCUGUGAAUGGAUGGCUGAAAAGAGGAGAAAAAUAUCCUUCCCAAAUUUUCAAAUAAAGAAGGUCCAGAAGCCCAGCCAAUUCUUCAUUUCCUAUCAACUUCUCUUCCUUAGAUUUGAUUCCACUAUCAUCAUUCCCCUGAUCCCUGGUACCUUCUCCAUCCCUCUUCUCCACCCUGUCUUUUAGCUUCCUUUUAUGUCUUGUCUUCCCCCUUUGGACUCUGAGCUCCUUGAGGGCAGUGACUUUCUUUUUCUUAUGUGUUUCUCCAGAUUUUAGAACAGAGACUAAAACAGAGUAGAUAAUACAUAAUAUAUAAUAAUAUUUUAUUGUGUGAUGACAUACUACUUACCUGAUUGAGAGGUGAUGAAUUUAAAUUAAAAUACAGUGUUGGUCAGCCAACUAGCAAUUGUUAAACACCUACUAUGUGUUAGGCAUGAUGCCAAAUAAUAUGCCAAACAAAUAAAGGCAAAAAGAUUGUCCUUAUUCUCAAGGAGCUCACAGUCUAGUAGAGAAGACAACAUACAAAAGGAAGCUAAAAAGGAUGGUAUAAACAAGAUAUGAAGGAUAAGUUGGGGCAUUUUUAGAAGGAAGGCACUAAGAUUAAAGACUAAAAAGGCUCCUUGCAGAAAGUGGGGCUUUAGCUGAGUCUUGAAGGAAGUCAGGGAAGCUAGGAGGCAGAAAUGAAGAGAGAGAAAAUUCCAUGCAUGAGAGAUGGCCAGAGAAAAAGCUUGGCAUCAUUUUGUGCAAAGAACAGCAAGAGUGUUGCUUGAUUAAAGAGUAUGUGGAGGGGAUGAAAAUCUAAGCCGAGUGGAAAGAUAAACUUGGCAGAAAAAGACAUGUUUUUAAACAGACAAUGUGGGAAUUUGUUUUCCUGAACUAUGAAGCUCUGUAUUUAGGGUUUUAUUUUCUAUUAAAAAAGAAAAAAAUAUAUAUAAUGAAAAAAUUAAAAAAUGAUGAAUUAAAUGCAAAAAUAAAAACAUAGUUAAAACAUUAUCAGUUUUUGUACUAGAUGUCAAAUACUGACUUUUUAAAUGAACUUGUUUAAUAAAAUACAAUAAAAACACACAAAAAGGAAAGAAGAACAGGGGAGAAUGUUCAUCCUAUGUGUAAUAAAAGUCAUAGAAAACCUGCUUUAAACCAAGUAUAAUUUUAUUUAAGGGUCUGAUCUUUCUAUAAAUACCUUUACUUUUAUUUUAAAUUGCUAUCAAGACUUGUUAAAAAAGAAAGCAAAAUAAAGUCCUUUUAACUCUACUUUCUAUGAAGUUCACUCAUAAAUAUGAAGAAACCAAUUUAAAACAUAAUGGAGGAGGCAGCCAGGUGGCUGAUAAAGAGCCAGGCCUGGAGACAGGAGGUCUUGGAUUCAAAUUUGAACUCAUAUACUUCCUAGGCGAAGGGAGUGGAGCCUCUGUGACCUUCCUCAGUACCGUCAGCAUUCGGGACUGGAUUUUACAGCCAGCUCAGCAUCAAAAAUACCUCAAGAAACAAUGGAGUAACCUUUUGGAUCUAUGACAUUGGAACUUAGAUGAAGAUUCAUUAAGUAGUCAUGAUGUAUCAGGAUGUGAAUUUCAUGUUACCAAAGCCAUGAAGGAACUGAAUUAAGUUUUGAGUCAAUUCUCCCAAGGGUGUGAUGGGGAAAAUAUUUGUACAUUUGUUUUUGUUAUAUCUUGCCUACAAAGGCAAUAGUGGGGAAGAUAGGCAUUUUGGUCAGAAGAGUCAGGUCAAAUGUCUUGUGCCAAGUGCUCCUUGAGAUUAGGGACAAAUUUGUUUUUUGCUUUUGCAUCUCUAGCACUUAAAACAUGUAAAAAUGGACUGGAAUCCAGGACUUCAAUCCCCAUAAGCCCUUGCUCCACUUCCCCAAAAUGCUUUGUAAUCUCACGCAAUUCUGAGGUGGGCCGAGAUCGAGGAAGGAUUUAAGCUGAUUGUAAAGGCUUUUGUGGUUUCUUUUGGACUUCCGUUUUGGAGCAGAGGCGUCUCUUCCAUGAUGUGAGAUUAUCUUGUCUAGGCCACUCUGGCCUAGGCAUGUGUUUCUUAUCCUGUAUUUUCUUUAAUCCUGAAUCUCUAAUAAACCUCUAAAAAAUAUAAUACUCCUUGCAGAGAGAAACUAAUUUCUACCUGCCUCAGUUGCCUCAGUCUCCCCUAAAUUUUAAUCUUUACAAACAGUGACUAUCACAUAGUAGGCAUUUAGUAAAUUAGUCAUUUCUCCAUUUGCCAUUACCCAAAUUGAAAUUUUAUUAUUGUAUGAUUUUGAAGAACAUAUGUUAUCUUUGGAUUGCCAUUUCCCAGCUAUAGAUUCUAGCUCUAUGUAUUGUUAACUUGGAAAUAACACAGAACUACCUAAGUAGUCAGAAAAACCAAGUCUUUAAUAAGAAAGGAAUAAAUCCCA